Small nuclear RNA from Phacochoerus africanus (Common warthog), 104 nucleotides. NCBI's taxonomy places the organism in Eukaryota, Metazoa, Chordata, Mammalia, Artiodactyla, Suidae. The record is from RefSeq and is a predicted model, not a curated record.
GUGCUUGAUUCGGCAGCACAUAUACCAAAACUGGAAUGAUACAGAGAUUAGCAUGGCCCCUGUGCAAGGAUGAAGUGCAAAUUCAUGAAAUGUUCCAUUUUUUU